AUUAACACUUAGGAAAAAAAUCAAAUUUAUAUUGACAUAAUCAUAAUUAGAGCGGCAAAACUUUUGUAAUUUCAGAUAAAAGAUUAGUCUUAAAUUUUGGUAACUAGUGGGCAUAUUAUUAGUUCAAUAUGGAAAGUGGGUAUAUUCUUUUCAUGUCAACGGUAAAGAAGUACAGACAAUUUUCAUUAUUGAGGGUAAAAGGUGAAGAAUCUAUCUCCCAUAAAUAAAUAAAAAAGGAAAGAAUAUGACCGUUGAGAGGAAGUGAUACCAUUGGCUUUGCCUCACCAAUCCCCCAAUCCCACAGCCAAAGCUGCC
RNAcentral lists this long non-coding RNA (315 nucleotides) under Gossypium barbadense (sea-island cotton). RNAcentral describes it as "long non-coding RNA (GBAR_LNC006876)". The record is from RNAcentral. Lineage: Eukaryota; Viridiplantae; Streptophyta; Magnoliopsida; Malvales; Malvaceae.